Molecule: non-coding RNA, 114 nt
Organism: Acanthosepion pharaonis
Lineage: Eukaryota; Metazoa; Mollusca; Cephalopoda; Sepiida; Sepiidae
Source: the annotation of a GenBank genome assembly
UUACGGCCAUGUCAAGUUGAAAGACCCGUUUCAGUACGAUCUCUGAAGUUAAGCAACGUCGAGCCUGGUCAGUACCUAGAUGAGUGACCACUUGGGAAUACCAGGCACUGUAAG